UUAAGUUCAGCGGGUAGUCCUACCUGAUUUGAGGUCAGAGUCAAAAGUGCCCAAUGGCGAUUGUAAGCAGACAUCACACCUUCACCGACGAAACUUAUUACGUCGACUAUGGUGCUAUCCUGCUAAGUCUUUUAAGGUGAGCCAGAAGAGGCAGACACCCAAGUCCAAUCUCCUCGGAAACCCGAGGGAUUGAGUCUACA
Molecule: unclassified non-coding RNA, 200 nt
Filed under: Tremellomycetes sp.
Lineage: Eukaryota; Fungi; Basidiomycota; Tremellomycetes
Description: partial internal transcribed spacer 2
Source: RNAcentral